RNAcentral lists this ribosomal RNA (496 nucleotides) under uncultured bacterium. RNAcentral's name for it is "partial 16S ribosomal RNA". It matches the Rfam family "Bacterial small subunit ribosomal RNA", at positions 28 to 506 of the family's 1533-position model. The record is from RNAcentral.
GAUGAACGCUGGCGGCGUGCCUAAUACAUGCAAGUCGAGCGAACAGACGAGGAGCUUGCUCCUCUGACGUUAGCGGCGGACGGGUGAGUAACACGUGGAUAACCUACCUAUAAGACUGGGAUAACUUCGGGAAACCGGAGCUAAUACCGGAUAAUAUAUUGAACCGCAUGGUUCAAUAGUGAAAGACGGUUUUGCUGUCACUUAUAGAUGGAUCCGCGCCGCAUUAGCUAGUUGGUAAGGUAACGGCUUACCAAGGCAACGAUGCGUAGCCGACCUGAGAGGGGGAUCGGCCACACUGGAACUGAGACACGGUCCAGACUCCUACGGGAGGCAGCAGUAGGGAAUCUUCCGCAAUGGGCGAAAGCCUGACGGAGCAACGCCGCGUGAGUGAUGAAGGUCUGCGGAUCGUAAAACGCUGUUAUUAGGGAAGAACAAAUGUGUAAGUAACUAUGCACGUCUUGACGGUACCUAAUCAGAAAGCCACGGCUAACUACGG